This is a long non-coding RNA of Amborella trichopoda, 1599 nucleotides long. RefSeq lists it as uncharacterized. The record is from RefSeq and is a predicted model, not a curated record. NCBI's taxonomy places the organism in Eukaryota, Viridiplantae, Streptophyta, Magnoliopsida, Amborellales, Amborellaceae.
UUGAUGGUUUAGAACCUCGGCCUUAUAAAAACCACACAUUUUAUAUAUAUAUAUAUUGUUCGCUAUCCAGGAAGACUGAUCUGACUAAAGCAAGUACGUACCCCUUAGGUAAAAUGCUACAGUAAUUUCUCGAAUGAGCCUAAAGGGUAUCAGUUGUCCGAUAAAAGAUGAGAUGGUAUACAAAAUUUUAAUAAUUGUUUUUAUGUAAAUCGGAUCAACAUGAGAUGUAGGGCGUGUAGAUCACAUCAACUCGCACCCAAUAAAAGUAAUAAAAAAUAUUUUACAUAUUUCAAAAUGAUGUGACUCCCCCUGGAUGUUAGAGGGGUGGUUUGGUUAUUUUUAUUCCAUGAAAUAUAUUUUGUAUUUUUGUUAUUUGAGCGAGGUAGAAAUGCAUCUACCCUCCAAAUUUAAGAGGAAACAAAUUUAUCGAAAAAUUAAAACUCAGAGCCCAAAAUACACUCUUAAUGGUCUGAUCUCGUCCGACGGUUGAUAGCUUUUAAGCCCAUGUGAGAAAUUAGUUUGUUUGCUUAGAUCUGGGAAAUUGGGAACGAUGUUUUAAAAAUCAAUGAGUCGCAUGACCCAAGUCAGAACCGCAUUGAUUUGUUCACCUUUUAAUCCGUUUCAAGCCCAUUUAAGAGUCAUUUCAGUAUAUUGAUUAGUGUUUACUUAGAUAAGCAACUUGUUGAUUCUACACUAGUUGCUUCAGUCUCAUCGUAUCUGCAAGCUGAUCAAGGGAUUUGUACCUUGAGCUGGUAAUCACUCUUCCUUCUCACUACUCUGAAAAGCUCCUCAAGCUCUCAAUUCAUUUUGAGGCUGACGACAAUUGCUGGAUGAAAUUGCAACACAAAUGUGGGCUGACGAUACGAAUAGUUGAAAGAUUCCAGUUUCUUCUUGUGCAGAGGAAUUUAUAUAUAUAUUGUAAUUGUGUUGACAUUUUCCUUAAGUUCAUGGACCAUGACAGCCAUUGAGAAUCUGGUUUUGGUUUCAUUUACUGUUAUUACUAUUCUUGUUCUUAUUGUGCAUACGAGGCCAAGAAGUGCAGUAUUACAAGUAACAGGGAACAUAGUGUAUAUCUGCAGACUGUAGAUAUGCAAAUGGUGCAUGCAUAUGACAUUCAUUACCUGCGUUCAUUGUUUCAGUAUUGUUUGUCCUCUCAGUAAUGGGAUUCUUGUAGAGCAGAUCUUUUAAUCAUUGAUGUGAAGGUUGGUUGGAAUAAGGCAAAGAAGAUCAACUUCUCUGAAGAUCACUUUUGUUUCAGAGUAAUGUCAUUCUUGCUGAGCAGAUCUUUUAACCGAUGUAAAGCCAGGUUCGAAUAAGUCGAAGAAGAUGACCUUCCCCGAGAUUUCUUAUUUUGUUUUAUUUUAUUUUGUCCCUUGUUGACAAGAAUGUGGCUGAUGUUUUUGGAACUUGUAUCUACACAAGCUCUACGUAUUUGCUUGUGUGUGGGGUGGGUUCAGGUCUUUCUGUGUCUAAUUAUUUAUGUGCUGAAUAGUGUGAAAGUUUCAUCGUAUAUGAUGUAUAGAAUUCAAUGGAGACGGUUAUUUGUGAUAUGAUCAUUUGAGAUGGCUUUAUUUGACAUGGUUAUUUGAGAUGUAAUUA